GCCCCUAUAGCUCAGUUGGCAGAGCUGAGGACUUUUAAUCCUUAGGUCGUGGGUUCGAGUCCCACUGGGGGCA
This 73-nucleotide transfer RNA is filed under the name Propionibacteriaceae bacterium. RNAcentral's name for it is "tRNA-Lys". It matches the Rfam family "tRNA". From Rfam's summary of the family: Transfer RNA (tRNA) molecules are approximately 80 nucleotides in length. Lineage: Bacteria; Bacillati; Actinomycetota; Actinomycetes; Propionibacteriales; Propionibacteriaceae. The record is from RNAcentral.